UGGAUAACCUACCUAUAAGACUGGGAUAACUUCGGGAAACCGGAGCUAAUACCGGAUAAUAUAUUGAACCGCAUGGUUCAAUAGUGAAAGACGGUUUUGCUGUCACUUAUAGAUGGAUCCGCGUCGCAUUAGCUAGUUGGUAAGGUAACGGCUUACCAAGGCAACGAUGCGUAGCCGACCUGAGAGGGUGAUCGGCCACACUGGAACUGAGACACGGUCCAGACUCCUACGGGAGGCAGCAGCC
This 244-nucleotide ribosomal RNA is filed under the name uncultured Staphylococcus sp. Its description in RNAcentral is "partial 16S ribosomal RNA". It matches the Rfam family "Bacterial small subunit ribosomal RNA", at positions 118 to 355 of the family's 1533-position model. The record is from RNAcentral. Lineage: Bacteria; Bacillati; Bacillota; Bacilli; Caryophanales; Staphylococcaceae.